Molecule: transfer RNA, 96 nt
Filed under: Actinomadura sp. DC4
Lineage: Bacteria; Bacillati; Actinomycetota; Actinomycetes; Streptosporangiales; Thermomonosporaceae
Description: tRNA-Sec
Rfam family: Selenocysteine transfer RNA
Source: RNAcentral
GGAGGCGUGAGGGUGCCUGGUGGCCCUCUUGGUCUUCAAAACCACUGGUCGACGCCCAGCGCCGACGGCGGGUUCGAUUCCCGUACGCCUCCGCCA